CGGGCUGUAGCGCAGUGGCUAGCGCGCUUGGUUCGGGACCAAGAGGCCGGGGGUUCAAGUCCCCCCAGCCCGA
RNAcentral lists this transfer RNA (73 nucleotides) under Spirochaetales bacterium. RNAcentral's name for it is "tRNA-Pro". It matches the Rfam family "tRNA". Rfam says of the family: Transfer RNA (tRNA) molecules are approximately 80 nucleotides in length. RNAcentral also lists the same sequence under 2 other names. Lineage: Bacteria; Pseudomonadati; Spirochaetota; Spirochaetia; Spirochaetales. The record is from RNAcentral.